Molecule: ribosomal RNA, 465 nt
Filed under: Vreelandella stevensii
Lineage: Bacteria; Pseudomonadati; Pseudomonadota; Gammaproteobacteria; Oceanospirillales; Halomonadaceae
Description: partial 16S ribosomal RNA
Rfam family: Bacterial small subunit ribosomal RNA
Source: RNAcentral
CCUACGGGGGGCUGUAGUGGGGAAUAUUGGACAAUGGGGGCAACCCUGAUCCAGCCAUGCCGCGUGUGUGAAGAAGGCCCUCGGGUUGUAAAGCACUUUCAGUGAGGAAGAACGCCUGGUGGUUAAUACCCAUCAGGAAAGACAUCACUCACAGAAGAAGCACCGGCUAACUCCGUGCCAGCAGCCGCGGUAAUACGGAGGGUGCGAGCGUUAAUCGGAAUUACUGGGCGUAAAGCGCGCGUAGGUGGCUUGAUAAGCCGGUUGUGAAAGCCCCGGGCUCAACCUGGGAACGGCAUCCGGAACUGUCAAGCUAGAGUGCAGGAGAGGAAGGUAGAAUUCCCGGUGUAGCGGUGAAAUGCGUAGAGAUCGGGAGGAAUACCAGUGGCGAAGGCGGCCUUCUGGACUGACACUGACACUGAGGUGCGAAAGCGUGGGUAGCAAACAGGAUUAGAUACCCUGGUAGUC